CAGAGGGUGCAAGCGUUGUUCGGAAUUACUGGGCGUAAAGCGCGCGCAGGCGGAUCCUGUAAGUCGGAAGUGAAAUUUCGGAGCUCAACUCCGAAGCUGCUUCUGAUACUGCGGAUCUGGAGAUCGGUAGAGGUCGGUAGAAUUACAGGUGUAGCGGUGGAAUGCGUAGAUAUCUGUAAGAAUACCCGUGGCGAAGGCGGCCGACUGGGCCGGAUCUGACGCUGAGGCGCGAAAGCGUGGGGAGCAAACAGGAUUAGAUACCCUGGUAGUCCACGCCGUAAACGAUGGGCACUAGGUGCCGGGGGGAGCGACCCCUUCGGUGCCGCAGCUAACGCGAUAAGUGCCCCGCCUGGGAGUACGGCCGCAAGGCUG
RNAcentral lists this ribosomal RNA (372 nucleotides) under uncultured organism. RNAcentral's name for it is "bacterial SSU rRNA". It matches the Rfam family "Bacterial small subunit ribosomal RNA", at positions 526 to 896 of the family's 1533-position model. The record is from RNAcentral.